This 482-nucleotide ribosomal RNA is filed under the name uncultured bacterium. Its description in RNAcentral is "bacterial SSU rRNA". It matches the Rfam family "Bacterial small subunit ribosomal RNA", at positions 30 to 506 of the family's 1533-position model. The record is from RNAcentral.
UUGAACGCUGGCGGAAUGCUUUACACAUGCAAGUCGAGCGGCAGCGCGGGGGCAACCCUGGCGGCGAGCGGCGAACGGGUGAGUAACAUAUCGGAACGUACUCAGACGUGGGGGAUAACACAUCGAAAGAUGUGCUAAUACCGCAUACGACCUGAGGGUGAAAGGGGGGGAUCGCAAGACCUCUCGCGUUUGGAGCGGCCGAUAUCGGAUUAGCUAGUUGGUGGGGUAAAGGCUCACCAAGGCGACGAUCCGUAGCUGGUCUGAGAGGACGACCAGCCACACUGGAACUGAGACACGGUCCAGACUCCUACGGGAGGCAGCAGUGGGGAAUUUUGGACAAUGGGCGAAAGCCUGAUCCAGCCAUGCCGCGUGAGUGAAGAAGGCCUUCGGGUUGUAAAGCUCUUUCAGCCGGAAAGAAAUUGCUUCUAUUAAUACUAGGAGUAGAUGACGGUACCGGAAGAAGAAGCACCGGCUAACUACGU